GCCGCCGCUCGCGCGCGCCCCGCCGCCCGCGCCCCGCGCGCCGCCCGUGCCCGCGCCGCCCGCGCCCGCCGCGCCGCCCGCGCCCGCCGCGCUGCUGCGCGUCAAGCCGCAGCCCCGCACCAAGGUACGCGCGCCGCCCGCGCUCGACAGCUAGCGCGCUCCCCGCGCUGGCCGCCUUCGACCGGUGCGCCGCCGACCGCGCGUCCGUCGUCCUCUGACAGCUGGCGCGCCGUGCCGAUGCGCCAACAGGCGACGGCGCGUCGCUGCGCGGGCGUCAGCCUUUGACAGGCGCGGUGAUGCGCCACAGUAGAUCGUCGCUUUUUGACAGCUAACAGCAUAUCGAUGCGCUGUUUAUCGUGUAACGACGUUGUCGCCCUUUGGGUUAUUUUGACUGGACCGGAGGCGGAAUGUAUCGAAGCCUCCGAUGAAUGUAUCCGAUAUCGGUUUGGGGAAGAUGGUUUUCUCUUAUAAUUUCAAUAUCAGUCGUAGGGGCGAUACCGUUCCCGGAACGCACCCGUCGAGUGAAAAUAUCGGGGAGUCCGGAAACGUCCCCGACCCAUCGAAUUUGACCGCCAAUAUCCCGGCUCUCGUGGCCGCCGGCAGUGUGCUGAGCGCGCGUUGUGUUGCAGGAGGCGGCGGCGCGCGCGCUGGCGGCGGCGCGGCAGCUGCCCGAGGGCAGGUAGUGUCGGGGCCGCGCCCGCCGCGCCGCGCCUGUAUAGACAUCGGUAGAUGAAACUAUUUAACGUUCGCUCCUUAGAUAUUACGGUAGUCUAUCUGAUUUUAUUUAUCCCGGAGGCCGCGCCCGCGCUCUGUACAUACCGACGCCGGCCGCGGUCCGCCGCCGCCGACGCUCGCGGCGGCCGCUUCCCUUUGUUUGUUGGCUUUCCGAGUAUCCGUGUGACUUCGUUAUCGUAGAGUGUGAUAGUCGCGGAGCGUCCUCGCCGAGAGGAGUCGCCGCGGGCGCCGGCCCCCGCUUCUUAGAGCCCGCUCCGGCGAUUGUACAGUGAGGCGUAGUUUUUGUUCUUUUGUUAUGUUCUGCAUAGAAUUGAGAGUUAAUUAUACGCGUAUAGUUACCCUUGUAAUUGUAAAUUAAUAAUAAUUGUGGAGACUCCUCUCUAAAUUUUUAAUACAAACGAAUGCGACACCCACAGAUUCACUAGCUAUAUUAAGAAGUGCUUAUUAGUUUGAUUAUUAUACUCCAACAUUACAAAAAGUUUGUAUGUACCCUAAAUAAAUUCUAUAAUAUUAAAAUAUGCAUUUCAUUAUUUAAUUUCACUAAAAUUACGUGUAACUUUGUAUCAUAAUAUAAAACACAUGGCCCUCGGUUGCGUUAUGGAGUCUGAUCAAACUGCUUUGUUUAAAAUUGUAAGAAAGAUAUUUACAGCACCCCUACUUUCGAAUCCGAUUUUAGCAGGUGGGUGUUGAAAAUCACGGAUCUAGAUUGCAGCGACAUUUACUCGAUUACAAAAAUUUCACACAAACAGUAUCCGCGAUCUCUUGAGGUAAAGCACACUUCGCACACGCUGCAAAAUUGGUUCCGAAAGGUGUGCUUUUAUCUUUUGCUCUUGUGUAGUAUUCUGUGUAACUUCACUUUUUCAAUUCCCAUUCUGCUUAGAUCUCGAUCUCAAUGCCUAGCGGGUCAGGCUGUCUACUGUUUCUGUUCACACUGUAACACUAGGCAGGUAAUAUCGGCAACAGUGUUACUUACCCAUUGCCGGUCAUGUUGUCUCGUUCUAUCGCAAAGAAUCACCAUUUGAUGAGCGAGAGCAAAAACGGAAAUGGAUAGUUAACACUGUGGCCGAUAGUACAGGCAUCUCAUGCGCUGUAAUCUAAAGUUAAAGCGCCGGUAGGAGUGAAGCGCCCACUACUGGUUUUUGUGCAUUUCUUUAACAGCAACACAGACUAUACAAAUUCCUGUCUGCGUUCGGCUUUAAACUACGAACGUUUGGGAUAUACUUCCGCAAAAACGUAAAUUCAAUAGGCUAUUUUAUUGUUCCUAUAAACGUGGCUGAACGUGUAAACAGCUGUAAAUCGGAUUCUAGGUCAGGGUAAGAUAAGCUUCACUUGUAAAAUUGCAAAAAUCGACUUCAUUAACAAUAAGGGUGGUUAGUGGGCUUAAUCACUGUGUUUCACUUAUUGUUGCUCAUCCUUUUUGUUAUUUUAGAUUAACCGUAACAUUAUUAUUUUACUAAAUCUGCAAAACAACAAUGUAAAGCACUUUAUUCUUAAAUAAAAAUAUAUUAUACAAA
Molecule: long non-coding RNA, 2249 nt
Organism: Ostrinia nubilalis (European corn borer)
Lineage: Eukaryota; Metazoa; Arthropoda; Insecta; Lepidoptera; Crambidae
Exons: 2
Source: RefSeq, a predicted model, not a curated record